RNAcentral lists this ribosomal RNA (465 nucleotides) under uncultured bacterium. Its description in RNAcentral is "partial 16S ribosomal RNA". It matches the Rfam family "Bacterial small subunit ribosomal RNA", at positions 28 to 507 of the family's 1533-position model. The record is from RNAcentral.
GACGAACGCUGGCGGCGUGCUUAACACAUGCGAGUCGAACGGUAAGGCUCCAGCUUGCUGGGGUACACGAGUGGCGAACGGGUGAGUAACACGUGGGUGACCUGCCCUGCACUUCGGGAUAAGCCUGGGAAACUGGGUCUAAUACCGGAUAGGACUGCACCGUGAGGGUGUGGUGGAAAGUUUUUUCGGUGUGGGAUGGGCCCGCGGCCUAUCAGCUUGUUGGUGGGGUAAUGGCCUACCAAGGCGGCGACGGGUAGCCGGCCUGAGAGGGUGGACGGCCACAUUGGGACUGAGACACGGCCCAGACUCCUACGGGAGGCAGCAGUGGGGAAUAUUGCACAAUGGGCGGAAGCCUGAUGCAGCGACGCCGCGUGGGGGAUGACGGCCUUCGGGUUGUAAACUCCUUUCACCAUCGACGAAGGGUUUCUGACGGUAGAUGGAGAAGAAGCACCGGCUAACUACGUG